Molecule: ribosomal RNA, 445 nt
Filed under: uncultured bacterium
Lineage: Bacteria
Description: bacterial SSU rRNA
Rfam family: Bacterial small subunit ribosomal RNA
Source: RNAcentral
AUUGAACGCUGGCGGCAUGCCUUACACAUGCAAGUCGAGCGGCAGCGCGGGGGCAACCCUGGCGGCGAGCGGCGAACGGGUGAGUAAUACAUCGGAACGUGUCCAGUAGCGGGGGAUAACCUGUCGAAAGAUAGGCUAAUACCGCAUACGAUCUACGGAUGAAAGCGGGGGACCGCAAGGCCUCGCACUGUUGGAGCGGCCGAUGUCGGAUUAGCUAGUUGGCGGGGUAAAAGCCCACCAAGGCGACGAUCCGUAGCUGGUCUGAGAGGACGACCAGCCACACUGGAACUGAGACACGGUCCAGACUCCUACGGGAGGCAGCAGUGGGGAAUUUUGGGCAAUGGGCGAAAGCCUGACCCAGCAACGCCGCGUGAAGGAUGAAAUCCCUCGGGAUGUAAACUUCGACAAGAACGGGAAGAAUAAGCGAGAGUUAAUAUCUUUCGUG